GAGUUUCGCUCUUGUUGCCCAGGCUGGAGAGCAAUGGCACGAUCUUGGCUCACUGCAACCUCCGCCUCCCGGGUUCAAGCGAUUCUCCUGCCUCAGCCUCCCGAGUAGCUGGGAUUAUAGGCAUGCAACACCAAAUCCGGCUAAUUUUGUAUUUUUUUUUUUAGUAGAGAUGGGGUUUCUCCAUGUUGGUCAGGCUGGUCUCGAACUUCUGAGCUCAGGUGAUCCACCCACCUUGGCCUUCCAAAGUGCUGGGAUUACAGGCAUGAGGCAUGAGCCACCGCGCCUGGCCAAAAAAAUAACUUUCAUAUUGUCAGGUUAUUUCUCAAAGACUAAUGAGUUACAUGCACAUGAGUUUGGGGGUCUAUCAAAAAACCAGUUCAGUGGUAGAUACUCUAUCAAAAUAUUGAUCCAGUGGUUCUCAAUACUAGCUGUUUAUUCAAAUCAACUGAGAAGCUUUUAAAACUACCAGUAUCCAGAUUUCACCACAGAUCAACUGAAUCAGAAUCUUUGGAGGUAUGCCCAAGGAAUGAUUUGCACAUAUCAUAUUGAUAUAUGAUUUGCACAUAUUGAUUUUCACAUCCCCACUCUUCAUAAUAGGUUUUUCUAAAGAAUUAGCAUAUUUGAAGGUGGUUUUGUUUUUCCGAUAAUCACAAAAUUUUAGAACUGAAAUAAUAUCUGGAUCAAUCCCUUAGUUUAACAGCUAAGGACACUGUGGGACAAUCCAGCUAUUAUUUCAGUUCUAAAUUUCUAAACCUCAAGAAAGGUUGAGUGAGUGGCCUCACAUAGUGAGGUGGUGGUUGCUGAGUGACAAGUCAUAUCUUGAAUUAGUGGAAUUCUCUGAACUCCAGUUCUGGAGCUGUAGCCAAUAGACCAAACUGCCAAGGCUUUAAAUUCUGCUUUCCCCUAAAGAAAAUGUAUUCAAAAUAUUACAACAGUUGAAUUUUAAAAGCUGUUAGCACCAGGUACUCAUUAAAGACCUUCAGUUUGGCACAUUCCAACUAGCCCAUUGUCAUGGCAAGAGGAAAUGCCACAGCAGGAUAUAUCAAAGUCCAAAAUAAAUGACUAGUAUCUAUUUGCAGGCUUUUUCAUUGGCCCUAACUUGAAAGUCCAUAAUAUUUUAUGUUAUCAGAGCCCAGGGUGCUUCUAGCCCUUAACUAUACCACUUAUUAGCAAACUUCUUUGCUUAUGAACCAGCUAAUCAAUACUCUGAACUUCCCUUUUCUCUGUAAAAAAGAAAAUAGUCCCUCUUAUUGACCUUGCAAUUUCAGCUAUAGUAAGGAUUAAAUAAAAUAAUCUAUGUGGAGAUAUUUUAAGAAUUUAAAAUCUCUAUUCAUAGAUAUAUAUAGGAUUACUAUAUUACUGUUUCUAAGAGCAACGACUUGUGAAAAAAUAUUUGUUGCUUUGAUUACCAAGGCUCUAAAUCUUAAUUCCUUGCUAUCAUGCCACUCAAGCAUCACCGGGAAGUGAAGUCAGAACAGGACUAGAGUCUCUAGUCCCUGAAAGUAUCCCAUAACUAAUAUUCAAGGAGGUAAAGUGAUGUAGUGACCUAGGACUCAGCUACUCUAGGCUCCAUUCCCAGAGUCUGCUAUUGACCUUGGACAAGCCACUUAAUUUUUCUGGAACCAGAGUCUCGUCAGUGGUCAAAAGAUGACUUGAAUUAGAGUCAAAGAUCCCUUUGAGUUAUAAAAUCAGAAUACGAACAUUUAAUUAAAAUUACUAAAGUACAACUUCCCAAGUCAUUAAUUCAUCUGGUUUUACAUUUUUUAAAUCUCUUUUUAGAAGUACAGAGUUGGAGACUAAAAACAUAGCCUAUUUCUGGCAAACAGACAUUUCAAAGACAUGUGUCUGAAAUGUCAGAGACCUUCUAAAAUAAUUCUAAAGAGAAACAUCUCUACGGAAAUAAGAUACUUUGUGCUCGUUUAAUAAACUCUCUGGGAGACCCUUGCUCCAAAAAUAAAUAUAUGGAUACCCCCAAAGCACUUAAUUCUGUACUGGACACAGAGUAGGCACCCAAAUACUUUGUUAACAGCUCUCAGUUUUUGUCCCAGUUCUUGUUACUUAACUCGUCUGACCCUGUUUUCUUAUCUAUAAAGUGGGAACAAUACCUUCCCCAAUGAUCCAUUGAGAUUAGAAGUAUUAAAAAGUUCUGUAAACUGUUAAAAACAAUUGCAAGAUGUUACUAUUAGCUUAGAAAUUUAGCUAACUAUUCCAUGACCUUACUAAAAUGUGCUUUUUGGAGAGAUGGAUUAAAAUCUUUCUGAAUGUAUUACAGAGCACCUACCCCAAUGCCUGACUCAACAAAUACGCUCAAUAAAUGUUUGCUGCAUGGAAAGUAUAAUAUACAGAAAGAGCAAAAGCUCCAUAAACUCAGGUCCCAUGUUCGUUCUUAUUUCCAAAUUCCCAGUAUCUAGCAGAAUAUCUAGCACAGCAUAGAAGAAAUUCAAUCAUUAGAUGAAUAAACUUUUGCCCCCUCUAGUUCCUCUUCAGCACAGCUCAAGAGGGAGAGACUGGUAGAGGAGACAUCAAGGAUGAUUAUGGGUAAAGGCUGCUUGGAAUGGAAAACUUGAAAUUACUUGCAGAAUUCAUCCACUCUCCAUCAAAAAAAAGCUUGGGAAACCAGAAAGAGCACAGGCUCUGAGUUCAAAUUCAGUUUCCAAAAAUCUGCAAUUUUGAUAAAUUAACCAACUAACCUCUCCAAGACUCAGUUUCCUCAUCUUAAAAUGAGAAUAACUCAUAUGGGCGCUCACUAGAAUGGAAACUCCAUGAAGGCAGGGACUUUACUUUGGGCCCACUGUAUCCACACUGCAUUUAACAGCGCCUGGGCACAGCACAGGCUCUCAGAUAUUUGUUGAAUGAAUGUGUAUGAAAUUGAUUGAGCUAACAUAGGUGAAGUAUUAACAGAGUGCCUGACACGUAAUUACCAUUGGGGCAACGGGAACCUUUGUCAUCACCACCACCGCUACUGUAUCGGUAUUAUUACAGUUCCUGGAGGUCGUAGAGCGGCCGCUUCGGGGGGAAAGGCCUGGUUUCAAACCUCGACUUUCCCAUUCUCUGGCCGUGUGACUUAGGAUAAAUUACUGAAACUAUUCGGGUUCCUUUUUAUUUCCACAAAAAUUUGUGUUGGGAGAAUUAGAGGAUAUAGGGAAAUUACCUAAGAGAAUCUGGAGCCCCGGUGGCACGAGAUGCAUGCUAGAGAUUAGUAUUAAGGCAGAAAAUCGCCGAGUCCUCUUUUAUCCAGAUAACUGCUUUCGAUUAUUUCCCACAUUACUGUAGCUGAGUACAUAACAAGAACGCAAACAAGGGUGGAAGGAAUUCCCGAGACCGAAACCGCUAAAUGAGAAAAGGGAAUUAAACCGGUGCCUGACAGUUCCCACCAAGGGAUGGCAGUUUCCGCGACCGUCGGCCAGUCCAGCCAGCCCAGCCAGCCGAGACUGGAGCAGGACAGUCAGCGGCAUAACGAACAAAACCGAAGCAGAGGCUUAGACCCUCCCUCUAACGGUCUCCCCGCCGCUGGCCUCAGGCGGCCGCCAGACUCCCAUUUCCGGCCCUCGCGGUACCACAGUUCCCAGCAUGCCCUUGGAGGGAAGUCUUUCCGGCUGGAUGACUACUAAUCCCAGCAUGCCAUUCGGCACUCCAGUAAAUUAGAUGGAAGAGCGGGAUAAGCCCAUUGCAUGCAGGGAAUUGCAGUCCAUUUAGCGGCUGGUUCAUAGAUGGGCGGGGAAGAGCCGGGUCGCUCUUGUCCUUUGAGAAUGAUUCAUAGAGGAGGGUCAGGAAAGAAGAACGGUUCAGUCUGUGAAAGCCCCCUUAAAAGACUGGACACUUCUCCCAGGGAGGGAGAGGCAGGAGAGCAAGCAGGGCCUUGGGCCUGACUCCGCCUCGGUCCGCUAGCCAGGCCCCGACCGAGUCCUGGGCCUUGUCGGGGGCGGCCGUGAGGCGCCGGUUGCUGGGGGAGCGGUGACGUCGCGGGGUGAAAGUUGAGGGGCGGUGACGUCGGGCCGGCCCGGGCGGAGGCUGGCGGGUUGGAGGCAGGAGGGAGGGAGGGAAGGAGGGAAGGAAGGAAGCUGGGAAGGAGCGAGCGGGGGCGCGAGGCGUUUACCUGGAGGCAGCGGCUUGGGCGCGCAGAGCGGCCGCGGCUCCCCCGCACCUGCGGCCAUGGAUGAGGAGCGCGCCCUCUACAUCGUCCGGGCCGGCGAAGCAGGGGCUAUCGAGCGGGUCCUGAGGGAUUACAGCGACAAGCAUAGGGCUACUUUCAAAUUUGAAUCAACAGAUGAAGAUAAAAGAAAGAAACUCUGUGAAGGCAUAUUUAAAGUCCUUAUAAAGGACAUCCCAACAACAUGUCAAGUGUCCUGCCUGGAAGUACUCCGCAUUCUCUCCAGAGACAAAAAGGUUUUAGUUCCUGUAACAACUAAGGAAAAUAUGCAGAUACUGCUGCGACUAGCCAAGCUAAAUGAGUUAGAUGAUUCUUUGGAGAAAGUAUCAGAGUUCCCAGUUAUUGUGGAGUCAUUAAAAUGUCUGUGUAAUAUAGUGUUCAACAGUCAGAUGGCACAGCAGCUCAGCCUGGAACUUAAUCUUGCUGCAAAGCUCUGUAACCUCCUGAGAAAGUGCAAGGACCGGAAAUUUAUCAAUGACAUUAAGUGCUUUGACUUGCGCUUGCUCUUCCUUCUGUCACUUUUGCACACCGACAUCAGGUCACAAUUGCGCUAUGAGCUCCAGGGACUACCGCUGCUAACCCAGAUCUUGGAAAGUGCCUUUAGCAUCAAGUGGACCGAUGAGUAUGAAUCGGCCAUAGACCAUAAUGGACCUCCUCUCUCACCUCAGGAGACGGACUGUGCCAUUGAGGCCCUCAAAGCUCUCUUCAAUGUGACGGUAGACAGUUGGAAGGUGCAUAAAGAGAGUGAUUCUCAUCAGUUCCGUGUAAUGGCAGCUGUCCUUCGUCAUUGUUUACUAAUCGUAGGUCCAACUGAAGACAAAACAGAAGAGCUACACAGCAAUGCAGUCAACCUUUUAAGCAAUGUUCCGGUCUCUUGUUUGGAUGUUCUCAUUUGUCCGUUAACCCAUGAAGAAACAGCCCAAGAGGCAACGACUGUAGAUGAACUGCCCAGUAAUAAAACAGCUGAGAAAGAAACAGUUUUGAAAAACAAUACCAUGGUAUACAAUGGUAUGAAUAUGGAGGCCAUUCAUGUUUUACUCAAUUUUAUGGAGAAGAGAAUAGACAAGGGAAGCAGCUAUAGAGAGGGUCUAACUCCAGUUCUCAGCUUAUUAACUGAAUGUUCCCGAGCCCAUCGAAACAUCCGAAAAUUUCUCAAAGAUCAGGUUUUACCACCGUUGAGGGAUGUGACAAAUCGACCUGAAGUUGGCUCAACUGUGAGAAAUAAGCUGGUGCGCCUCAUGACACAUGUUGACCUUGGAGUCAAGCAAAUUGCUGCUGAAUUCCUUUUUGUCCUUUGCAAAGAGAGAGUGGAUAGUCUGCUGAAAUACACUGGCUAUGGGAAUGCUGCAGGACUGUUGGCGGCCAGGGGCCUCUUGGCUGGAGGAAGAGGAGAUAAUUGGUACUCAGAGGACGAGGACACAGACACUGAAGAAUACAAAAAUGCAAAACCAAACAUUAAUCUUAUCACUGGUCAUUUAGAGGAACCAAUGCCAAACCCCAUAGAUGAAAUGACAGAAGAACAAAAAGAAUAUGAAGCCAUGAAACUUGUCAACAUGCUUGAUAAACUUUCCAGGAGAGCAGAUGUGAAGGACCUGCACCAGGAUGGUGGUUAGCAACAGUGGCCCGUGCCAAAGCACUUACCAAAGUGAUGAUGACUAAGACCCUGUCAUUAAUUCCAUGUGUCAAUACUGCCCUGUAGUACACAGAGCAGACAAGAAAGAAGAGCCCUUGAAAACAAGGGAAUGAUUUUUGAGUCGUUAUCAAGCUAAGUGGCAAGCGGGAAGCUGAAACUCGUAUAGUUGAACAUUCUUGGAGGCUUAUCUCUUCCCUGGCCAGAUGCCUGAUCAGAUGAGAAGCCCGCCAUGAUACUGUCACAGUGCCUAGAAUGGGCUCUUUAUCCAGUAGACACCACUGUACUUUUUGAUACGAGGGCAGUCUUAACUUGUGUUAAGGCCUGUGUGUAGCAUUGAAGAGAGGAGUUGCUUAAACCAAUGGGACUAAAACCUGAUGGGACAAUAACGCCUUUGGAGGAAGCACUCAACCAGUACUCUGUCAUCGAAGAGACCAGCUCUGACACAGACUAAAAGCAUCACCUGCUCAACUCUCAAUAUUGCUUUAUCAGCAUCUUUUCUCUGUAGCUCCAGGGGAAUCUUUUCUCUAAAACAUUUAUGCCCUUGCUUUGGCUAGAAACACAUUAACUGGUUUACUCAUUGAGAAUCCAGCAUAUUUAAGAGGUGACCCUGUGUUUUUUGUGAUAUUGAGGCAUUCAUACAGAGCUGCAGUUAGACGGGGUUACGGGGGCUAGAAGCAGAAAAAAAAUUCCAUUUCAUCAGGAUGGAACUGAAGGAUUUUAUUCUAUAAAGUGGCCCUGGUUGAAUCUGGCAAUUCUUUUUGCCAAGAUUCCUAGCAGAUGAUUUAGCCAUGUCCUUCCCCUCACUUGUGUGAGUGGCCCCUUCUGAAUCUCUCCAGCAGCCAGAGGCACGUGAGAAGCAGAAUGAGCUGGUAAAUAAAGUCUUGGGCAAGCGACGUCUUAGAUCAGAACUCACCAAAUGGAAGCCUAGCAGCUGCUCCGUAAACCUAGCCCCAUUCUUCAUAUCAAUUUUGUAUAAAUAUAUAGAAACACACACACAGCCUCAGACUUACAAACUGAUAAUACUCUAAAAGUUUGUAUGUCAGUUAGCUAAAAUUUCAGAAUACAUUUCUCCCUAUAAAGAGUUAUAAAUGAUGGUUUAGUUCUCAGGCAGCUACAAAUGCCUAUUUAUUCCCUAAUGUACCUGAACACUAGUACCACAGAACUGAACCAUCAUCUGUAUCAGCGCAUGGGGAGUGUGCAUUCUGAGGUCUAAGCCGGGGUGCCAGGAACACACACAUCCUCCAUCCCAGCAUAGAGAAUGGGGACUCCCUGAGUAAUGGGAGUUCUUUUGUGGCCUCUGCUUGGGGUGGGGGAGUCAGCAGCACCCAUUUGUACAUAUAGGUCAUUCAUACAUCACAUUUUAAAUGGGGGACUGUGUGUGCUGGUGUGUGUGUGAGUUCUACGUUUCUACCAUAUGUGAUCAGUUUAAUAGUAACUUUAUUUAUUUAAAAAAAAGAAACACAGUUAGUUACUGUUAAACUGAUAAAGGGUGUUUAUUUUUACUUUUAGAAUUGGUCCUAUGAAGAAGUAGAAAGUGAGUCAUGCACUAGACAGUGGGCCUAGCUCAUCAGUGGCUAAAGUUGAAAAGGGGUUGGUUUCCUGUAUAUAUAUGUAUGUGUAUACACACGUACAUACAUUCAUAUAUAUACAUAUAUACAUAAUGUGCUUAACCACUGCCUUUUAAAACUUUAAAUUAAAUAAAACAUUGGGGUUGAUUCAA
Pongo pygmaeus (Bornean orangutan) is the source of this 7503-nucleotide RNA transcript. It is a transcript of the gene named RIC8 guanine nucleotide exchange factor B, with no coding region annotated. NCBI's taxonomy places the organism in Eukaryota, Metazoa, Chordata, Mammalia, Primates, Hominidae. The transcript has 13 exons. The record is from RefSeq and is a predicted model, not a curated record.